GCUAAACGCGAAGAACCUUACCCACACUUGACAUGCCUCUUUUGGCUUUCAGAGAUGAUUGCCUUCGGUUCGGCCGGGGAGUGCACAGGUGCUGCAUGGCUGUCGUCAGCUCGUGUCGUGAGAUGUUGGGUUAAGUCCCGCAACGAGCGCAACCCUUAUCGUAUGUUGCCAGCAUUUAGUUGGGCACUCAUGCGAGACUGCCGGUGAUAAGCCGGAGGAAGGCGGGGACGACGUCAAGUCAUCAUGGCCCUUACGUGUGGGGCUAGAAACGUGCUACAAUGGGAGUGACAAUGAGCAGCGAGGUCGCGAGGCCAAGCUAAUCUCUAAAAGCUCUCUCAGUUCAGAUUGCAGUCUGCAACUCGACUGCAUGAAGUUGGAAUCGCUAGUAAUCGCAAAUCAGCAUGUUGCGGUGAAUACGUUCCCGGGGUCUUGUACACACCGGAGGUCGGUGGGGAGG
This 457-nucleotide ribosomal RNA is filed under the name uncultured bacterium. RNAcentral describes it as "bacterial SSU rRNA". It matches the Rfam family "Bacterial small subunit ribosomal RNA", at positions 954 to 1408 of the family's 1533-position model. The record is from RNAcentral.